AAGAGACAGCGCCGCCGGCCGUGGGGAGCGGACGCAGUGAUUUGCUCCCCCUCGUGCAGCAACCCCCACACCCAGCACCAGGCCCCCAGAACUCUCCUUCCAGCUGAACUCCCUGGGAACAAGUCAGUUGGGCUGAUCACUGAACUCACAUUUCUGGACCUGAGGAGCCUGUUCCUCUCACGCCCUCACCUGGCUGAGCCGCAGUAGUUCUUCAGUGGCAAGCUUUAUGUCCUGACCCAGCUAAAGCUGCCAGUUGAAGAACUGUUGCCCUCUGCCCCUGGCUUCGAGGAGGAGGAGGAGCUGCUUUCCCCAUCAUCUGGAAGGUGACAGAAAUGGGCUGGGAAGGUCCGGACAGCAGGGUGGAUGAUAACAUUUUGGGCAAGUUGGAGAGCCUUUGCCCAGAUUGGCCCGGCAAGGAGCGGUUUUAGAUUAGAGACACUGGCUGGAUUGAGGAGUAGAAGGCUCAAACAACCCAAGGUGGUAUGUGAUCCCCAGCUCAGGCCUGUGCAGACAGGAAAUUCUCCCCUGCAGCAAGUAGGGGAGGUGGGUUGUGGGAUG
This 558-nucleotide long non-coding RNA is filed under the name Pan troglodytes (chimpanzee). Its description in RNAcentral is "lincRNA". The stretch from base 192 to 275 matches the Rfam family "mir-22 microRNA precursor family". The record is from RNAcentral. Lineage: Eukaryota; Metazoa; Chordata; Mammalia; Primates; Hominidae.